GACGAGCGCUGGCGGCGUGCCUAAUACAUGCAAGUCGAGCGCAGGAAACUGACGGAACUCUUCGGAGGGGAGGCAGUGGAAUGAGCGGCGGACGGGUGAGUAACACGUAAGGAACCUGCCUCAAGGAUUGGGAUAACUCCGAGAAAUCGGAGCUAAUACCGGAUAGUUCAACGGACCGCAUGGCCCGCUGAUGAAAGGCGCUCCGGCGUCACCUUGAGAUGGCCUUGCGGUGCAUUAGCUAGUUGGUGGGGUAACGGCCCACCAAGGCGACGAUGCAUAGCCGACCUGAGAGGGUGAUCGGCCACACUGGGACUGAGACACGGCCCAGACUCCUACGGGAGGCAGCAGUAGGGAAUCUUCCACAAUGGACGAAAGUCUGAUGGAGCAACGCCGCGUGAGUGAUGAAGGUUUUCGGAUCGUAAAACUCUGUUGUAAGGGAAGAACACGUACGAGAGGAAAUGCUCGUACCUUGACGGUACCUUACGAGAAAGCCACGGCUAACUACGUGCCAGCAGCCGCCGUAA
This 524-nucleotide ribosomal RNA is filed under the name uncultured bacterium. RNAcentral describes it as "partial 16S ribosomal RNA". It matches the Rfam family "Bacterial small subunit ribosomal RNA", at positions 28 to 523 of the family's 1533-position model. The record is from RNAcentral.